RNAcentral lists this ribosomal RNA (466 nucleotides) under uncultured bacterium. RNAcentral's name for it is "partial 16S ribosomal RNA". It matches the Rfam family "Bacterial small subunit ribosomal RNA", at positions 28 to 507 of the family's 1533-position model. The record is from RNAcentral.
GAUGAACGCUGGCGGCGUGCUUAACACAUGCAAGUCGAACGGAAAGGCCCAAGCUUGCUUGGGUACUCGAGUGGCGAACGGGUGAGUAACACGUGGGUGAUCUGCUCUGCACUUCGGGAUAAGCCUGGGAAACUGGGUCUAAUACCGGAUAGGACCACAUUUUGGAUGGUGUGGUGGAAAGUUUUUCGGUGUGGGAUGAGCUCGCGGCCUAUCAGCUUGUUGGUGGGGUAAUGGCCUACCAAGGCGUCGACGGGUAGCCGGCCUGAGAGGGUGUACGGCCACAUUGGGACUGAGAUACGGCCCAGACUCCUACGGGAGGCAGCAGUGGGGAAUAUUGCACAAUGGGCGCAAGCCUGAUGCAGCGACGCCGCGUGGGGGAUGACGGCCUUCGGGUUGUAAACUCCUUUCGCUAGGGACGAAGCGUUAUGUGACGGUACCUGGAGAAGAAGCACCGGCUAACUACGUG